Non-coding RNA from Python bivittatus (Burmese python), 687 nucleotides. The record is from RefSeq and is a predicted model, not a curated record. Lineage: Eukaryota; Metazoa; Chordata; Lepidosauria; Squamata; Pythonidae.
UGACGAUGGAAUAAAAUUUAAUUGCAUUCUCUCUUACUAUAGAUGCUAAAAAGCUAUUUGAAAAAAAAUGAACAGGCCUUAUAAUGCUUCUCGAGUGGAAGUCUGAGAACCAGAAAUGACAGGACCAAAAACCUGAACACCUAAAAUACAUUGUCGUCAAAACAAACAGCUUACUGAGAGAAAAUCUGGGGAAGCCCUUUGCAAGCACCGAAUCUAAAGGCAGGAGCUUCUGCCAGAAAUAGAAAAGGGGAUGUCGUCAUCUAGGAUGGCAGAUACCACAGCCUGAAAUGGACUUUGCAGGUGCCAAGAAACUUUGUAGCAAUAUGCAAAAGAAUUGAGCUUCCAAGAGACCCAGCUCUUCUGCAGGCAAUAGACAAUAUCAAAGCUAAAAUGUCUGAGAUGGAGAUCUUUGACAAUAUGGAUAAGAAGCUGAAAGUAUCCAGACAGAGAGAGAACAGAAGAGAAAAUGCCGUCCGAUUUGGAACUGAGAUUCAGCAGGUAAAACAGGAACUGCAAGAUGUACAGGGGAGCAAUGCAAAGGGACGAGCCCAAGAAUUUGCCAGCCUGGAUGAAAAACUUCUAAUGGAAUCCAGCUUGAAAGCAAGUCAAGGGUAGCUAAGCAAGCACAGAGCAGAAACAGUUUCCCCACACCAGUAGGAAAUGGCAGAGAGAGAGCUGAAGUCUCUG